This 1679-nucleotide ribosomal RNA is filed under the name Escherichia coli. RNAcentral's name for it is "partial 23S ribosomal RNA". It matches the Rfam family "Bacterial large subunit ribosomal RNA", at positions 165 to 1869 of the family's 2925-position model. The record is from RNAcentral. Lineage: Bacteria; Pseudomonadati; Pseudomonadota; Gammaproteobacteria; Enterobacterales; Enterobacteriaceae.
CAUAGGUUAAUGAGGCGAACCGGGGGAACUGAAACAUCUAAGUACCCCGAGGAAAAGAAAUCAACCGAGAUUCCCCCAGUAGCGGCGAGCGAACGGGGAGCAGCCCAGAGCCUGAAUCAGUGUGUGUGUUAGUGGAAGCGUCUGGAAAGGCGCGCGAUACAGGGUGACAGCCCCGUACACAAAAAUGCACAUGCUGUGAGCUCGAUGAGUAGGGCGGGACACGUGGUAUCCUGUCUGAAUAUGGGGGGACCAUCCUCCAAGGCUAAAUACUCCUGACUGACCGAUAGUGAACCAGUACCGUGAGGGAAAGGCGAAAAGAACCCCGGCGAGGGGAGUGAAAAAGAACCUGAAACCGUGUACGUACAAGCAGUGGGAGCACGCUUAGGCGUGUGACUGCGUACCUUUUGUAUAAUGGGUCAGCGACUUAUAUUCUGUAGCAAGGUUAACCGAAUAGGGGAGCCGAAGGGAAACCGAGUCUUAACUGGGCGUUAAGUUGCAGGGUAUAGACCCGAAACCCGGUGAUCUAGCCAUGGGCAGGUUGAAGGUUGGGUAACACUAACUGGAGGACCGAACCGACUAAUGUUGAAAAAUUAGCGGAUGACUUGUGGCUGGGGGUGAAAGGCCAAUCAAACCGGGAGAUAGCUGGUUCUCCCCGAAAGCUAUUUAGGUAGCGCCUCGUGAAUUCAUCUCCGGGGGUAGAGCACUGUUUCGGCAAGGGGGUCAUCCCGACUUACCAACCCGAUGCAAACUGCGAAUACCGGAGAAUGUUAUCACGGGAGACACACGGCGGGUGCUAACGUCCGUCGUGAAGAGGGAAACAACCCAGACCGCCAGCUAAGGUCCCAAAGUCAUGGUUAAGUGGGAAACGAUGUGGGAAGGCCCAGACAGCCAGGAUGUUGGCUUAGAAGCAGCCAUCAUUUAAAGAAAGCGUAAUAGCUCACUGGUCGAGUCGGCCUGCGCGGAAGAUGUAACGGGGCUAAACCAUGCACCGAAGCUGCGGCAGCGACACUAUGUGUUGUUGGGUAGGGGAGCGUUCUGUAAGCCUGCGAAGGUGUGCUGUGAGGCAUGCUGGAGGUAUCAGAAGUGCGAAUGCUGACAUAAGUAACGAUAAAGCGGGUGAAAAGCCCGCUCGCCGGAAGACCAAGGGUUCCUGUCCAACGUUAAUCGGGGCAGGGUGAGUCGACCCCUAAGGCGAGGCCGAAAGGCGUAGUCGAUGGGAAACAGGUUAAUAUUCCUGUACUUGGUGUUACUGCGAAGGGGGGACGGAGAAGGCUAUGUUGGCCGGGCGACGGUUGUCCCGGUUUAAGCGUGUAGGCUGGUUUUCCAGGCAAAUCCGGAAAAUCAAGGCUGAGGCGUGAUGACGAGGCACUACGGUGCUGAAGCAACAAAUGCCCUGCUUCCAGGAAAAGCCUCUAAGCAUCAGGUAACAUCAAAUCGUACCCCAAACCGACACAGGUGGUCAGGUAGAGAAUACCAAGGCGCUUGAGAGAACUCGGGUGAAGGAACUAGGCAAAAUGGUGCCGUAACUUCGGGAGAAGGCACGCUGAUAUGUAGGUGAAGCGACUUGCUCGUGGAGCUGAAAUCAGUCGAAGAUACCAGCUGGCUGCAACUGUUUAUUAAAAACACAGCACUGUGCAAACACGAAAGUGGACGUAUACGGUGUGACGCCUGCCCGGUGC